UACGUAGGGGGCAAGCGUUAUCCGGAUUUACUGGGUGUAAAGGGAGCGUAGACGGCGAGACAAGUCUGAAGUGAAAUGCCAGUGCUCAACACUGGAACUGCUUUGGAAACUGCCUGGCUGGAGUGCGGGAGAGGUAAGUGGAAUUCCUAGUGUAGCGGUGAAAUGCGUAGAUAUUAGGAGGAACACCAGUGGCGAAGGCGGCUUACUGGACCGUAACUGACGUUGAGGCUCGAAGGCGUGGGGAGCAAACA
RNAcentral lists this ribosomal RNA (251 nucleotides) under uncultured bacterium. RNAcentral describes it as "partial 16S ribosomal RNA". It matches the Rfam family "Bacterial small subunit ribosomal RNA", at positions 524 to 774 of the family's 1533-position model. The record is from RNAcentral.